This 114-nucleotide non-coding RNA is filed under the name Rhodoferax antarcticus. RNAcentral's name for it is "SAH sequence". It matches the Rfam family "SAH (S-adenosyl-L-homocysteine) riboswitch aptamer". The record is from RNAcentral. Lineage: Bacteria; Pseudomonadati; Pseudomonadota; Betaproteobacteria; Burkholderiales; Comamonadaceae. RNAcentral also lists the same sequence under 1 other name.
ACUUCCGAGGAGCGUUGCAGCUCACACUGAUGGCCCCAUGCAUCGUGCUGAGUGAGGCUCGGACCCCGCUGUUGUUCCUUUUGACGCAGCGUUUCACAACGGCGCUCACCCACG